This 371-nucleotide ribosomal RNA is filed under the name uncultured organism. Its description in RNAcentral is "bacterial SSU rRNA". It matches the Rfam family "Bacterial small subunit ribosomal RNA", at positions 526 to 896 of the family's 1533-position model. The record is from RNAcentral.
CAGAGGGUGCAAGCGUUAAUCGGAAUUACUGGGCGUAAAGCGUGCGUAGACGGUUAUUUAAGUCAGGUGUGAAAGCCCCGGGCUCAACCUGGGAAUUGCACUUGAGACUGAAUAGCUAGGGUGCGGAAGAGGGAAGCGGAAUUUCCGGUGUAGCGGUGAAAUGCGUAGAUAUCGGAAGGAACACCAGUGGCGAAAGCGGCUUCCUGGUCCAGCACCGACGUUCAGGCACGAAAGCGUGGGGAGCAAACAGGAUUAGAUACCCUGGUAGUCCACGCCAUAAACGAUGAGAACUAGACGUUGAGAGGGUAAGCCUCCCAGUGUCGCAGCUAACGCGAUAAGUUCUCCGCCUGGGGAGUACGGCCGCAAGGUUG